RNAcentral lists this ribosomal RNA (305 nucleotides) under uncultured bacterium. Its description in RNAcentral is "bacterial SSU rRNA". It matches the Rfam family "Bacterial small subunit ribosomal RNA", at positions 338 to 640 of the family's 1533-position model. The record is from RNAcentral.
CCUACGGGGCGCAGCAGUGAGGAAUAUUGGUCAAUGGGCUUACGCCUGAACCAGCCAAGUCGCGUGAGGGAAGACUGCCCUAUGGGUUGUAAACCUCUUUUGUCAGGGAGCAAUUGGCGCUACGUGUAGCGUUAUCGAGAGUACCUGAAGAAAAAGCAUCGGCUAACUCCGUGCCAGCAGCCGCGGUAAUACGGAGGAUGCGAGCGUUAUCCGGAUUUAUUGGGUUUAAAGGGUGCGUAGGCGGAAGGUUAAGUCAGCGGUCAAAUGUCGGUGCUCAACACCGGCCUGCCGUUGAAACUGGUCUU